RNAcentral lists this ribosomal RNA (253 nucleotides) under uncultured bacterium. RNAcentral's name for it is "partial 16S ribosomal RNA". It matches the Rfam family "Bacterial small subunit ribosomal RNA", at positions 524 to 776 of the family's 1533-position model. The record is from RNAcentral.
UACGUAGGGUGCAAGCGUUGUCCGGAAUUAUUGGGCGUAAAGGGCUCGUAGGCGGUCCAUCACGUCGGGAGUGAAAAGCUGGGGCUUAACCCCAGUCCUGCUUCCGAUACGGGUGGACUAGAGGUAGGUAGGGGAGAUCGGAAUUCCUGGUGUAGCGGUGAAAUGCGCAGAUAUCAGGAGGAACACCCGUGGCGAAGGCGGCUCUCUGGCCUGCAACUGACGCUGAGGCGCGAAAGCGUGGGGAGCGAACGGG